CCUACGGCGGCUGCAGUGGGGAAUAUUGGACAAUGGGCGAAAGCCUGAUCCAGCCAUGCCGCGUGUGUGAAGAAGGCCUUCGGGUUGUAAAGCACUUUCAGUGGGGAAGAAAGCCUUGGGGCUAAUACCCUCGAGGAAGGACAUCACCCACAGAAGAAGCACCGGCUAACUCCGUGCCAGCAGCCGCGGUAAUACGGAGGGUGCGAGCGUUAAUCGGAAUUACUGGGCGUAAAGCGCGCGUAGGCGGUCUGAUAAGCCGGUUGUGAAAGCCCCGGGCUCAACCUGGGAACGGCAUCCGGAACUGUCAGGCUAGAGUGCAGGAGAGGAAGGUAGAAUUCCCGGUGUAGCGGUGAAAUGCGUAGAGAUCGGGAGGAAUACCAGUGGCGAAGGCGGCCUUCUGGACUGACACUGACGCUGAGGUGCGAAAGCGUGGGUAGCAAACAGGAUUAGAUACCCCGUAGUC
This 463-nucleotide ribosomal RNA is filed under the name Vreelandella stevensii. Its description in RNAcentral is "partial 16S ribosomal RNA". It matches the Rfam family "Bacterial small subunit ribosomal RNA", at positions 338 to 795 of the family's 1533-position model. The record is from RNAcentral. Lineage: Bacteria; Pseudomonadati; Pseudomonadota; Gammaproteobacteria; Oceanospirillales; Halomonadaceae.